Molecule: transfer RNA, 71 nt
Filed under: Hemifusus tuba
Lineage: Eukaryota; Metazoa; Mollusca; Gastropoda; Neogastropoda; Melongenidae
Description: tRNA-Val
Source: RNAcentral
AAAGAUGUAGUAUAAGUGUAUAAUACAUUUCAUUUACACUGAAAAAAUAUUUUAUAAAUAAGUCAUCUUUA